RNAcentral lists this ribosomal RNA (468 nucleotides) under uncultured bacterium. RNAcentral describes it as "partial 16S ribosomal RNA". It matches the Rfam family "Bacterial small subunit ribosomal RNA", at positions 28 to 507 of the family's 1533-position model. The record is from RNAcentral.
GACGAACGCUGGCGGCGUGCUUAACACAUGCAAGUCGAACGGAAAGGCCCUGCUUUUGUGGGGUGCUCGAGUGGCGAACGGGUGAGUAACACGUGAGUAACCUGCCCUUGACUUUGGGAUAACUUCAGGAAACUGGGGCUAAUACCGGAUAGGAGCUCCUGCUGCAUGGUGGGGGUUGGAAAGUUUCGGCGGUUGGGGAUGGACUCGCGGCUUAUCAGCUUGUUGGUGGGGUAGUGGCUUACCAAGGCUUUGACGGGUAGCCGGCCUGAGAGGGUGACCGGGCACAUUGGGACUGAGAUACGGCCCAGACUCCUACAGGAGGCAGCAGUGGGGAGUAUUGCACAAUGGGGGGGAGCCUGAUGCAGCGACGCCGCGUGCGGGAUGACGGCCUUCGGGGUGUAAACCGCUUUCGCCUGUGACGAAGCGUGAGUGACGGUAAUGGGUAAAGAAGCACCGGCUAACUACGUG